Molecule: ribosomal RNA, 101 nt
Filed under: Gopherus agassizii (Agassiz's desert tortoise)
Lineage: Eukaryota; Metazoa; Chordata; Testudines; Testudinidae
Source: RNAcentral
CGGGCAAUCCUUCCUAGCCAGACCGUAUUUGAUCUCAGACACUAAACUGACCUGGGCCUGCCUGCAUGGAUGGGAGACCACCUGGGAAUGCCAGGUGCUGU